Molecule: long non-coding RNA, 368 nt
Filed under: Homo sapiens (human)
Lineage: Eukaryota; Metazoa; Chordata; Mammalia; Primates; Hominidae
Description: novel transcript
Source: RNAcentral
UAGUGUUCUUGGGGAAGAUCCCGACUUAGCCAUUUUCCAGUGGCACCUCUUCCACCAUGAGUUCCUGAGGCAGUCCGAUGGGGCUACUUUAGUCCAGAACAAUCACAGUGUGGUGUCAGCACAGCGGCAGGUCACCGUUCAGGAAGGACCCUUGUACCGCACGGAGGGCUCCCACAUCACUAUCUGGUGCAAUGUGAGUGGCUACCAGGGACCUUCUGAACAGAAUUUCCAGUGGUCCAUUUACCUGCCUUCGUCGCCAGAGCGAGAGGUGCAGAUCGUCAGCACCAUGGACUCUUCCUUCCCCUAUGCCAUCUACACCCAGCGCGUCCGCGGAGGGAAGAUCUUCAUAGAAAGAGUCCAGGGGAACC